This is a long non-coding RNA of Anopheles merus, 308 nucleotides long. RefSeq lists it as uncharacterized. Lineage: Eukaryota; Metazoa; Arthropoda; Insecta; Diptera; Culicidae. The record is from RefSeq and is a predicted model, not a curated record. The transcript has 2 exons.
GUGUGCACAGGCGUUCAAGGUUCAAUUGAUCCUCGAGCACAAAGCCUUCAUACAACACCGCGGUUGAGGCGCGUCAAAUCUGAUGACAUCUUUCCUGAACCAAGCAGGCUGAACACGCGAACCACCACGGGCUCCAGCGCGGUGUGAAGCGGAAAGAAGAAAAGACAAAAUUGAAAACAGCCGCGCCAGGCUUCCAACCACCGUGUGUGUGUAUGUAAGUAUGUGAGAACACAUGUGUGAAUCCUCUUGUGGGAACUGCAAAAAGAAGAUAAUAAAGAGUGUGAAGCAGCUAGACUGCCGCAACCAAA